This 473-nucleotide unclassified non-coding RNA is filed under the name Hirundo rustica transitiva (Levant barn swallow). RNAcentral's name for it is "partial external transcribed spacer". The record is from RNAcentral. Lineage: Eukaryota; Metazoa; Chordata; Aves; Passeriformes; Hirundinidae.
CCCCCCACCCCCCCUUCCGCGAGACCGAGAGAGAGAGAGGGAAGGAAGGAGAGAAAAGGGGGGGGGGCAGCCCAGCCCCCGCGUCGUCCGAAGCCGAAGCUGCGCAGCGGUCCCGGCUCCUUGCCCGCGGCGUCGCGGGAAGGGCCGGCCGCCGGGGUCGGCCGUCGCCGCGGGGCGUCCCGCCUCUCCCCCCGCCGCGCGGCGGGCGGAGGCGGGUUAGCCCCGCGCCUGCGCGGUGCCGUUCCCCGCCCCAGGCGCCGCCGGGCCGCCACGUCGCCGGCCGCCGCCGCCGCCGCCGGCGCCCGUCGCCGCCACGCCGCCGCCGCCGGCACGCCCGUGAUGCCGCUCCCGCGGGUCGGAGCGGUGAAAGGAGCCGGGGGCGGUCAGGGGUUGGCGGGGGCGGUCCCGCCGGCGGCGGGUCCGGGCGUCCGCGCGCUGGCGCGCCUUGGCGCGGCGCCGCCGUGGGUGGCGGC